This 326-nucleotide ribosomal RNA is filed under the name uncultured eukaryote. RNAcentral describes it as "partial 18S ribosomal RNA". It matches the Rfam family "Eukaryotic small subunit ribosomal RNA", at positions 1470 to 1796 of the family's 1831-position model. The record is from RNAcentral.
CCCUUAGAUGUUCUGGGCCGCACGCGCGCUACACUGAUGCAUUCAACGAGCCUAGCCUUGACCGAGAGGUCCGGGUAAUCUUUGAAACUGCAUCGUGAUGGGGCUAGAUUAUUGCAAUUAUUAAUCUUCAACGAGGAAUGCCUAGUAAGCGUGAUUCAUCAAAUCGCGUUGAUUACGUCCCUGCCCUUUGUACACACCGCCCGUCGCUCCUACCGAUUGAGUGUGCUGGUGAGGAGUUUGGAUUGGCCUCGGAAGGUGGUUCGCCACCGUCCGUAGCUGAGAAGUUCUCCAAACCGCCCCACUUAGAGGAAGGAGAAGUCGUAACA